UAUCAACGCCGUACUAAACAUAAGCGAAAUGGAGAAGUACCUCGUGUAUCUUGUUAUCAUACAUUUUAUUCAAAUUGAAUGUCAAAGUAUUUAUGAAAGACAAAAUGAAGCAAACUUGAAAAAAAAUAUCGCAAGUUUAAAACGGGAUCCCCGUGAAAGCGAUGAUUAUGAAGACGAAGGUGGCUUCAUACACGCUCCAAAUACUAAAACGGACCACAGUUUUAUUUGGAAUGUAAGUAGCUGUCCUGAGAAAGAAGUAAGAGCCCCGUGGGGUCCAUGCAUUACUUGUAAAGAAUACAUGGAGAAAUUGAAAAAGGUCGGCCCUGGAUGUACAUGAAAUGAAAACUUAGCUUUAAUUAAUCUUAAGAAAAUUAUAAUUAAUGUCACUAUUAUUAGUAACUAGUCUUAUUAUUUAAGUUCUAUUUAAAAUCGUUUUUAAUUGAACGCGACUGUUUUAAUUUUUAAGUUUAAGUUUAAUACAUUCAAUAAAUGGCUUAGUUCAAAAUUUUCAAAUCAAGGAUGUUAACUCUCCUCCAGUUAUUUUAAUUUCCAAGUUUUGUAUAAUCUUAUUUUUGUAUUUAGAUUUUUAUAUUAUAUACUUCUCAAUAAGGUUUUCGUACUUCAAAUAUAUCCAAGACCAAGAAAGGUUUUAAUGAUAAAAAAGUGAACCAGAAUUUUAAACAGUUUCUUUUGGUUUAUGAAGUCGGUUAAAUAUCUGUUAAUACCGAUAAUAUAAUAUACGUGUUAUGUAUAUAGUAAAUACUUACACCAAAUAACUUUGUUUAAAAAAAAUAUCACGAAAAGUAAUUUUUAAUAAAAUUAUUUAAUUAGUACACCACUC
Molecule: long non-coding RNA, 841 nt
Organism: Pieris brassicae (large cabbage white)
Lineage: Eukaryota; Metazoa; Arthropoda; Insecta; Lepidoptera; Pieridae
Exons: 3
Source: RefSeq, a predicted model, not a curated record